CGAGCAGGCACCGCAGCGGCUCCCACCCAGCCGGCGGAGCCGCGCAUGCGUCGUGCCGCCGCCCGCCUCGGCCGGCGCAGCCCCGCCCCGUACUCGGCGCGCGGGUCGGGGCGGGAGCGGCCGCAGCGGCAGCGAGCUGCCGAGCCCCGGGCCCGGCGCGGCCGUGUCCCGUCCCUGCCGGGGCGGCCUCCGCUCACCCCGCCGGCGAGGUCCACCGCCAACAGCUUUUGCAGCGAGGGACAGCUGGUGGCAGCGGCUCCGGCUUGCUUUCAGACCGGGCCCUGGGCGGUUCCUUGCAGCCGCCACCCCCCAGCACGCCGGCCUCGGCCUCGCAGGCAGACCUGCGCCAAAGGGGUGUCUCGGCGGCGUUAUCUGGACUAAACAGAGGCACCCGGUGGAAUCCGCAGCAGCGCGGCCUGGGAGGUUGUUCCCUGCCAGCAGCGCGCUCAGGUCACGGCUGGCAAAGCCCCCGUCCUCCGGCAGGGCCCCCGGGCAGGGCAGCAGCCGUGACCCGCUGCGAUGCCCGGCCCCUCGGAACAGCUGCUCUGGCAGGCGGAGGCGUUCCCCUGCAGCUGUAGGACGUUCAUCUGAACCUCCCGGGUAGCUGUAUGAAAAGCCAAGCGGAUGCUGCUGGUGCGGGUGCAGAAGUAAGACAUCUGAAAAAGAAGAAAGAAAAGCACUGUUUCCAUGUCCCAAGAUGCCUCAGCCUGUAGCAUGUGAUACUGAAAUAAGGCACAGUGUUUGCAGAAAGCCUAAGGUACUGGGCAAAGUUGGAAGAAAACGAAGGGAAAGAUGUUUACGCUCACUGUAAAAUCAGUUGAAGGAUUGUUAUUUUUUUGAGAAUUUUUUUGACUGAUGGGUUUGGCAGCCAAAAUUAUGUCACCCCAUUUUGUAGUAUGUUUGCCUUUUUAUUCUGAGAAAGUCACUAGGCAGGUUCUUAUUCCUGAACACUUGUGUGUGAAUCUUAGUAUGAAAAUAUGUGUAAUGAACCCAGAAUCCUAAACCGUAUUAUAUUUUAAUAAAUACAAUUUCAAGACCUUCCUGAAAAAAAAGGAAUGUCCUGUGUCAUAACUGAGCCUGUAGUCAAAAGCCUUUAUAUCACAUGGAGCUACACUGGCAGAAGUGGUCUGAGAGGGGAAUCAGAGCCUGUAGCUUUACAGAGACAAAGAAUACCACAAUCCCUCAAUAACCAGAGGAAAGAAAGGAGCUAAAGUCUGUAAGAAAAAGAAAGGGAAAGAGAUGUUGAGAGAAGGUGGUGGUGGAGCAAAAGAGGUAGGAGGCGAAGGCAUAUGCCAAAAACUGAGUAAUGACAGAAGAACAUAUUACACAAGUAAAUUUGAGCUGUGAUGGGUAAAACCCAAAUUACUUCCAGGUAUGGUAGAUAAAUUGAGAUGAUUGCAAAGUAUGGGAGAGAGUGAAAACUUAGAAAUCAAGGGACAGCUGUUACAUCCCAUCUAUGUAUUUCAUAAAACCUGAAUAGCUCAAAAUUCAGCCAAUUUAUUAUUUCAGAUAAAUUCAGGGAAGCAAAAUUUUGUUAGCUGCUUCUUCUAGGGACUUUCACUUGAUCAGAGCAGGCUGAUGUCUAUUGUAGAGCUGCUGAGAUGUGUCAUGACAGCAUGUGUAUGUGACAUUAUGACAGAGUCAGUUAUUAUGCCAUCAUGAGUAAUUUAAACAACAUUAAAUACUGUCCUCGUUUCAUCUGGGAUAGAGUUAAAUUUCUUUGUAGUAGCUAGUAGGGGACUAUGUUUUGGAUUUUUGCUGGAAACAGUGGUCAUAAUGUGGAGAUGUUUUAGUUGUUGCUGAGUAGCGCUUACACCGGUCCAGGACUUUUUCAGCUCCCCGUGCUCUGCCGGGUGCACAAGAAGCUGGGAGGGGAGGGGACACAGCCGGGACAGCUGACCCAAACUGACCAACGGGAUAUUCCAUACCAUAUGACGUCAUGCUCAGUAUAUAAAGCUGGGGGAAGAAGGAGGAAGGGGGGGACAUUUGGAGUGACGGUGUUUCUCUUCCCAAGUCACCGUUACGCACGAUGGAGCCCUGCUUUCCUGGAGACGGCUGAGCACCUGCCCGCUCAUGGGAAGUGAUGAAUGAAUUCCUUGUUUUGCUUUGCUUCUGCGCGCAGCUUUUGCUUUACCUGUUAAACUGUCUUUAUCUCAACCCAUGGGUUGCCUCACUUUUACUCUUCCAAUUCUCUCCCCCAUCCCACCAGAGGGGAGUGAGCAAGCGGCUGCGUGGUGCUUGGUUGCUGACUGGGGCUAAAUCACGACAAAUACGUGAAGAAAGGCAACUGAAGAAGCUGCAGGAUGAUGAUGGGAGCAAGUACUGCUGCCUGUGACCUUACCUUACCUUUUUAGGGUCAAAGUGAGAGAGGAAUCAUCAGUCUUUACAUAUUGGACUAAACCACAGCACAAAUUAAGUUGAUACUGAGCCUUUGUCCCCUCUCAUGCAGAAUCUCAGUUACCAUAUAUGAUUACAGUAUGACUUGCUAUUCUUAUUUGUGUUUGUUAUCAAGUGAUCAGAAACACUGGCAGGGUUUUUCGCUGUCUGAAGAUCCCUAGAUGAGACAACAGACCUCAGCGGAGCCAGAAUCUCACUGUCUAAUCCUGGCCGAAGGAUCCUGAGUGCAUGAGUGAAAGUCAGGCAUGUAGUGACUUACGGGAGCGGAGCUUUCUGUCCUGUGGUAUCCAGCUGACAGAAGGUAACACAUUGUAGCACAUAUCCUUCACCCACAUCCCUGGGCUUUCUGAUGCUACUUAGAUCAUUCCUUUCCCUCCUGGAACUUUCACUCAAUGAGUUUGCAUUUCCUAAUCAGUUAACUUGCUUGCAGCAGUGAGAGUUCCUAUUUGUAAGUAAUGCCAUCCUGUAUCUUUGAUACAAGCUUUUGCAACCCAUUUUUUGUGCAAAUACAGGCAUAUAACUCAAAUCAAUUGGUUUCAGUAGGAUUAUCCUAAGAGUGUUAAGUGCUGCAUCAUGCUGUUCUCCAAGAGACAGAUUCUGCAGUCCAGUACAACUUAUUUUUUGAAGGAAAAGGGGUAGCAGAACAAUUCAGUAGUUAAACCAAGGAGAUAAUCACCUUCCUGUUCAGUUUAUCUACAAAUGUGAGAGAUUCCGUGACAGUAUUAACGAUACACCAUAUUGAUAUUUACAUCUCAAAAUAUCAUUCCUUUCAACUUGGAGGAAGGGAGGAAGAUUGUGUCACAUUUUGCAGAUGGGAGGACAGCCACAGAAGAGGUGAAGGGCUUUAGGGUAACCCAGCAUCCUAGGGGAAAGGUCUUCUAGCUUCCAGCUUCUAGCCAAGGGUUUCUUAGCAGAAGGCAGCAAUGUCACCAGGGACUAGGGACUCUGGCCAGCUUCUAAGAUGAAUUUCAAAAUCUUUUGAGCACCUACUAAAAAGGAGUAUCAAAGUGAUAAGAUAAACCAAAUGCUAUAGCUGGUAUUGUGAACAGCAUUUUUGCCAACCAAAGUGAAAACAAGCAUUUCUAGAACUCUUCAAUAUUUUUUGCCAGCUGUCAUUCACUGUGUGAAUCUCUGUUAUUAUGCAGGAGUGGAUUCCACAAUUUCCAAGGCAUUUUUAACCGUUGUGUAGUUUUGUUGGUACUCACCCUUAUUCACAUUACUCUGGAGAGCUGUAUUAAAUGAGUUACUGAAAGGAAGGCAUGGCAGAAAUUCCUUGCAUGCCUGACUUUGGUCUCUGUCCAGCCCUUCUAUGAGCUCUAAAUUUCACCAAAUUCCCCUUGAUUUAUGCCAUGUCACUCAAAAGGCCAAUCUGUCCCUGGAUAAUGUAAUAACAUACCAUUUGUGUGCUUCGUAGGCUCAUGGUACUGAAAGCAUAGGCUUGGUGAUGCAGACUUUUAACUUGCUUUCAUUGUAACAUUCCCUGCUGUGAUGGUCUGUAGAGCGAAAGCCACAACUCCAGGUGAGAGAUUUAUUUUGGGCUAUAAGUGUUACCCUGAUGCACCAUCAGCCCAGCAGUACAAUGGCAACGCAUCCCAGAACUGAUGUGAUUGUCACAGUAGAAGAGCUGCUGUACUAUCUUUAACACCCAAAAUUACAAAACAUUGAAAAGUAUAUGGGACAAGCUUGCUAAGUAACUCUUGUGUAGCUUAUGAGUGGGUCUUAUGCAGCAUGCAAAGCAUAAGGGUCAAAUCUUAAAGGUAUUCUGUCUUUCUGUAUUCAGUGUCAUAAUCUCGGUCCCUUGUAUAUGUGUGUAGCCUCCAUCAGGGAAAACAGUAAUGAGUUUGCAUACCAAGGAGAUCUUAAAUCCCAGUUCCCCUUCAGUAAUGCAUAAUGUCAACAGAAGCCUUUGAUGAAUGCAGCUUCUUAAUUAGAUGCUUGAGCAGGAGAUUAUUAAUCCAUUUAUCUCAAAUUCUAAUCGUACCAUGAAUCGCUCACUGUUUUAUGCCUAGGUUUAUGAUCAUAGUUAGCUUCCUAGAACCUUUAAAGAGUCAUACUCAUAAAUUAAUGUAUUUCUGGAAACUUGAAUUGUUGUAUUCUUAUUUGUAUUACUUUCCGCAAUAUGUGUGUGUACAUAUUCCGAAAACCUUACUCCAUCAGCCAGGGGUAUCUUGCAACAUAACAGUUACAUGCCAUUUCCAUGGUAGUGACAUCUGACCUUUAAAAAAAUGGAUUUUGGCACCAGUAAGGGGAAAUGGCUGAUUAUCAUGGCAAAGGCUGGUCUUUAUGUAUCAGAAUUACCGAGUGGGCAUGAUUUGGGGACCUACCAGCUUUCAAAUGCAUCUUAGAACCGUAAGCUUAGGUUGUGAUGCUAAUAUAUAAUUGCUACUGAUCCCAUAGAUCUAAAACUCAGUCCUAGGAGAUUCAGGGCAAGCCAAUCCAUUUGGUAAAAGAGCACGUAGUUGCCUGGAUGACACAUUUGCCCGGACGCAGCCAAGGAUUCUUUUGAAAAUACCUUCAUAGCAGGCAGAAGCUUUUCCUCUGAACAUGCUGAAUUGGCCUAUUUGGCAAUUCAUGGUGCAUACUGCAAUGGCUCCAUCUGCUGAAACAACUCAUAAAUCAGUUGAAACUUCAAAAAGUUGCAGCAAACGGGAUUCUUUCUCCUAUCGUCAGUGCUAUUAAUGUCCUCUUUGUUUCUGUGUCUAGGGUGGGCUACGUAAGAAGAGACUAAGAACAUAUUGCAGUUUCUUUGUGGGUAUGUGACCCCACACAACAGAGGGAUGAGAGCAACAGGCACACGGCUGACAUUCAGUCAGGUGGAAUAAUAAAUGGUAGCGAAUGAAGUCACUUUCUCAGCGUGUCCCUGGUUUUAUAUGGGCUGUUGUGUAGAGCUUGCUGUGUGCAAGCAAAGAUUUAAUGCACCAUUUAAAUUGUACAGUCAUAUCUGGGAAGACAAAAAGGUGUUAAAGUGAGGGGGGUGGUUCUGCUGUGUUCUAUGGUUUUAACUACCUAUACUGUCUGCUAUUAAAAAACACAAAUGAACCCUACCACAGCUACUUUCUAUUCUAAAAAUGGUGGCAGAUGAUAGCUCUUCUGGCACCUGGAGGCUCACGUGUUGUCAAAUAAUUGCUUUUCAGUGGUGUUACUGACAUCCUAGCUAACAAUGUCCCAGCUGUCCUUUCCAGUUCAGAAUGUGUUCCUCAUUAAGGUCCUUGCAUCUCACUGCUGAACAGAUUCAGACUGGCAUGAGGCUGACUGCUCCCGUCCUUUCAGUUCUAGGAUGGCACUUCAUGGCAGACACUGUAUCUGUGUUGACAUGCCGCUGGGCUAAAUUUAGUUCCAAGUAAUAAAAUAAAAUUAUACCUGCAGAGCUGAGUGUCAUUGCAUCUCAUUUUAGACAAGAAAAUAAUUUGUAGAUAUCUGUUUUGCAUCUGGCAGGCUGUAUAAACAGAGGUAUCUGCUGUCUGAUUAGCAAAUAUAGAGGAGUUUCUUGCACUGUCUGCACUUGGGGAGCUACGGUAGCUUACUGUGUUAGCUCCUGCUUCACUUCAAUUUUUUUCUCUCCUUUCUCUUAGUUGGAGGGCUGCUGACCUUGUUUGUGUAUCUCAUCAUUCCCCUGAAACUGUUCUCCUACUAUCAGGUGAAUCGAUGGCAUAGGGAGGGGAGCGCCAGCUCUAUUGGAGAAACUGCCAGGACACAAAAUCAGCAGAUCCCAGAACUUUUCAGUCAGUGUGACUGGCAGCAGACAUUAAAAAUUAUGAUCUAUUUAUGCAUGGGCUGAGCUCAGAACUGGGACUUCUGCACCCUACAGUUUUCUGAACCCCUCCCAGUUCUGCCAAGGAUGUAGUUUGUGACUUGGAAAAAGUCGGUUCUUUCUGAGUUUCCUUAUCAGUAGAGAGAGCCUUUGGGCCAUGUAGACAUCUCUUGCCUCACCAAGACUGGAAGGAUUAAUUCACUUAUACAUUUGAAGGCACAAGUUGCUAUGCAGGGCCAGACCCUGUGUCAGUGCAUCAAAGGGAGAUUUUACGAUUGACUUUGAGGGGAGGAGGACCGUGGUCCAAGCGCCUACAAAUGGAUAAAACCCACAAUGAUGAGGCAAGUUAAUGCAUAAAUUCCUUGCCCUCUCUCCCCCAAACCUUUCUGUUUGCUUUUCUUAUUAACUUAGUAUUCCUGCUCAGUCUUCAAGCUCAUUUUUCUCCUGAGCAUUGCUUGUCCUUAUGAUUCUUUCUGGCAGAGCUUUUCUGCUUGAAAAAGGCACUUUGAGUCAUACUGUGCUCUUGACUGGGAACUAAUAGAACUGAUCCAAUCUGGUGAGUCAGAGUAAGUUCUGCAUCUCUGCCUUGUGGACUGAGUGAAGCAGAGGCCUAACUCACAGCUGAAAUGUUAGAAACAAGAGGGAGCAAUGCUGAGGAGGAUCUCAUAGUCAAAUGCCAAAACACAAUUAAGAAUUUGUGUGGCAGUCCGUCUGUUCCUCUGUGCCCCACUUGUAAGAAGGGGACAGCAGCAUUGUCCUAAUUCACCAGUGCAUUAAGAAGGUGCGCCAGUUAGAGACUGGGUGCUCAGAGUCUGGGGUGGUGGAAGGGCCCACUGAAUCCCAGAAGGCAGAGGGAAGGGGUCCCUGACCCAGUUUGUUGGAGACUGCCCAAGGAUCAAAUCAAAAGCAGAAGGGGAUAAAAUGUUCAUGCUGAUACCAUCACCUUGACUUCACAAGAAGUUGACUGGUGCAGUAUCAGCCAUUCCUGCUUACGUAGGGUCGUUUGUGGCCUCAGAUUCUCCUGAUCCCUGUGAUGCCUUACAUGUUUUUGUUCACAGCAGAACGUUCCAACCAUGGCUCCAGGAAGAAUGAAAGAUGACAGUCAGAGCAGAUCACCCAGUGAAUCUGAAAGUAAAAGGUAACUAACUAUUUGUCCUUUUACAGCAGUUACCUCUUCUCUGUCA
This is a non-coding RNA of Phalacrocorax carbo (great cormorant), 7332 nucleotides long. NCBI's taxonomy places the organism in Eukaryota, Metazoa, Chordata, Aves, Suliformes, Phalacrocoracidae. The record is from RefSeq and is a predicted model, not a curated record.